CCUUUCAAAAAGUACUCAUUUUAGAGGCUACUAAUAAAUAAACAAACUCGCAUCAUAGAUGCCGUACUUGUUCUCUUCUAACUGGCUUCUGAUUCCAGUAACAUUAGAGAGUUGGCAGACUAGAGAUAUUCAGCUACUCUCUAAAGAGUGCCGACCACAACAACAACUAAAAAGGUUAGACCGUGGAAGAUGAGAAGGGUACGUUGACCUUUCCGUUGAGCAACCACGAGACAUCUUUGUAUAGGGCAAAUGCUUUUCAUUAUUGAGGA
Non-coding RNA from Caenorhabditis elegans, 269 nucleotides. NCBI's taxonomy places the organism in Eukaryota, Metazoa, Nematoda, Chromadorea, Rhabditida, Rhabditidae. The record is from Ensembl.